This 238-nucleotide long non-coding RNA is filed under the name Nicotiana benthamiana. RNAcentral describes it as "long non-coding RNA (NBEN_LNC001058)". The record is from RNAcentral. Lineage: Eukaryota; Viridiplantae; Streptophyta; Magnoliopsida; Solanales; Solanaceae.
AUAUAGUGUUAGUUACAAAUAACAGUGAGCCAGCUAAGUCAUAUGUAGUUCAAGUCUGUAUAAUAAAAAAGUGAGCCAGCUACAAAAUACAAAUAACAGCUACAAAACUACAUAAACUCUAUAUACUGUUGCCUAUAUUUCCUAAGAUUGUAUGGAGGAAUGUAAUGCUUGUGUCUCUGCACUACCUAGACAUAGAUUUACUGUCUGGUUAGCUGCUCAUCAGAAGCUUCCUACCAUU